This 453-nucleotide ribosomal RNA is filed under the name Triticum aestivum (bread wheat). RNAcentral describes it as "partial small subunit ribosomal RNA". Lineage: Eukaryota; Viridiplantae; Streptophyta; Magnoliopsida; Poales; Poaceae. The record is from RNAcentral.
AUGUGCUGGCUCACAGCUAGACGGCGGCGUCAGGCUGAGGAGGAGCGCCGGAGACAGAUGAUGAGGCAAAGAGAAGAGGCGGAGAGGCGAAGAGAAGAGGCGGAGAAGACGCCCUGCUUCCGCUUGAGAAGGAACCUGGCCGCCUACGAGAUGGAGGAGGGAAGGAGGAUAAGAAGGGCCGCCGAGAGGGCCAAGGCGAUGGAGAACACCGGGGCGGCUGACAAGGUACAAGGGAAGGGGAAGAACGUGUCACCACAGGAGGUGAGGAUGGAGAAGGAGAAGACGAGGAAGGAGAAGAAAGAGGAGGAGAGGCUCAAGGCGAAGGUCGAGAAGGAGAGGAAGAAGCGCGAGGAGGAGGCCAAGAAGAAACGAGAAAGAGAGGCCAAAGAGAAGGAGUUGGAGAAGAAGAGGAAAGAGGCGUCCAAGAAGAGAAAGACCGCCAAGGGAAAAUGA